AUCUUUUGACUGCUUGUCUCUGAUAUCUCCUAACAGUUUUCCAAGAAAUUUCUGAUAUUUACUUUGAAACCGAUGCUAUAUUGCUGCAUACUCUGUAGUUCUUAUGCAUAGAGCGUGGCUGGCAGUGAAUGCUUGAAAGACAUAGCAACAGUAACCAAGGGAGCGGGGCUUAGCUAAGGAUCAUGUUAUCCAAUGACAUUCCGUUUGGAGCUUCCACCUUGUUCCCCGGCGCUGCGUUGUGAUUGUUUGUCCCUCUUCACCGAAGGACACGGCAGUCAUUACGAUGCCCCGUGGCAAGUCCUACCUUCGCUCUGAGGCGGCUAAGUGGAGGAUGGCAGAGCGACAGUUGGCCUCCAGUGACGCUGGUGCAUCUUGUGGCACAGGGUGGUGCCACAAAGUGCACAAACGGUCAAUUUCUGAGCACACUGGGCGCCAGCAUAAAUUGGUCAUUCCAGUUGAGGUCCCAGGCAAGACGCUUGUUCUUCUUGUAGGGGCGUCCCCUCUGCGCUCCCUUGCAGAUGGGAUUGUGCUGAUGCCAGAGGAUUGCUACACCUUUGGCGUCAUGUCCACUCCAGGGGCGUGUCCUGACUAGCUCAGGACUGAGGAUGAAAAUGCUGUUCUUCCUCGGAUCUCUGAUGCUGUCUGUGUCAUGGCCCCUAGCAACAACCUUAUUAUUUUGUUUAGGUCUUCGCUGGGACCUUGUCCCACACUUGACAGUCCCGGGGGAUAUCCAAGAGUUUUUCCGGCAUGAAUUUCACCUCGUGUCAGCACGUCUCGGUAUGUUUGAAAAUAAUGGUACAUGGUUCUAAACAGUUUUAUGAAGGCUUAUGAGAAUUAUAUAUUUUACAUAUAAUUUCUAAUAUUAUACCCAUUAUGGUUUUCUAAUAAGAAAGUUGACAUUGCCUUUUUAAAAUGUGUUUUUCAAAAACUGUUUAUUUUCUUGUUCCUUUUUUUUAAGGUGUGAAAGUGAUAGUUUGUGUGCUUUAUCUAAGAAAAUGACAAGUGUUAGAAAUAAUCUACAUGUCUGUCAACACUGCCUUGCGAGAGUGUUUCAUUCAUAUUGUAUAUGGAUUACGCUCGCGUAAUAUCACAUAGGAUUACGCUUGCGCAGGUCCUAGUCCUUUUUUUUGUUAACCAACUGGUCUUUUUGUGUGUGUUGGGGUAGUUCCUAGGGGGUAGUCUAGCUGUUCUUAAGUGCAUUCACAAGACACCCGAAGAAGCCCAUAGAGAUACUGUUUGUGUGUCACAGAGGAUAGUCAGGUGUCUGGUUAUGACAAGUUCAAAGAGACAACUCCGUAGUUCUGGUUGGAGGAGGGUUCCUUGGGGGUAGUCUAGCUGUUCUUUUAAGUGCAUUCAAUGGCACAAGACAUGUUCCUGAUCAAAUAUGUAAUGUAAUUAAUGUAUGUAAUAAUUUGCAAUAAAAUUGUAUGAUAUUUUA
Long non-coding RNA from Epinephelus moara (kelp grouper), 1438 nucleotides. RefSeq lists it as uncharacterized. The record is from RefSeq and is a predicted model, not a curated record. Lineage: Eukaryota; Metazoa; Chordata; Actinopteri; Perciformes; Serranidae. The transcript has 4 exons.